GACGAACCGAGCGAACGUUGUUCGGAAUCACUGGGCUUAAAGGGCGCGUAGGCGGGCUGCCAAGUUUGGGGUGAAAUCCCCCCGCUCAACGGGGGAACGGCCGCCGGAUACUGUCGGCCUCGGAGGGGGGUAGGGGCGAGCGGAACGCUGGGUGGAGCGGUGAAAUGCGUUGGAUAUCCAGCGGAACUCCGGUGGCGAAGGCGGCUCGCUGGGCCCUCUCUGACGCUGAGGCGCGAAAGCGUGGGGAGCAAACAGG
Molecule: ribosomal RNA, 256 nt
Filed under: uncultured bacterium
Lineage: Bacteria
Description: partial 16S ribosomal RNA
Rfam family: Bacterial small subunit ribosomal RNA
Source: RNAcentral